CCUACGGGAGGCAGCAGUAGGGAAUCUUCGGCAAUGGACGAAAGUCUGACCGAGCAACGCCGCGUGAGUGAAGAAGGUUUUCGGAUCGUAAAACUCUGUUGGUAGAGAAGAACGUUGGUGAGAGUGGAAAGCUCAUCAAGUGACGGUAACUACCCAGAAAGGGACGGCUAAUUACGUGCCAGCAGCCGCGGUAAUACGUAGGUCCCGAGCGUUGUCCGGAUUUAUUGGGUUUAAAGGGUGCGUAGGCGGGUUGCUAAGUCAGUGGUAAAAGCGUGUGGCUCAACCAUACCAAGCCAUUGAAACUGGCGAUCUUGAGUGCAAACGAGGUAGGCGGAAUGUGACGUGUAGCGGUGAAAUGCUUAGAUAUGCCACAGAACCCCGAUUGCGAAGGCAGCUUACCAGCAUGCAACUGACGCUGAGGCACGAAAGCGUGGGUAUCAAACAGGAUUAGAUACCCUGGUAGUCCACGCAGUAAACGAUGAAUACUAGCUGUUGGCGAUAUAAUGUCAGCGGUACAGCGAAAGUGUUAAGUAUUCCACCUGGGGAGUACGCCGGCAACGGUGAAACUCAAAGGAAUUGACGG
This 583-nucleotide ribosomal RNA is filed under the name uncultured Porphyromonadaceae bacterium. Its description in RNAcentral is "bacterial SSU rRNA". It matches the Rfam family "Bacterial small subunit ribosomal RNA", at positions 338 to 916 of the family's 1533-position model. Lineage: Bacteria; Pseudomonadati; Bacteroidota; Bacteroidia; Bacteroidales; Porphyromonadaceae. The record is from RNAcentral.